UUACGGUCACAUCACGUUGAAACAUCGGUUCUCAUAAGUUCACCGAAGUUAAGCAACGUUGAUCCUGGUCAGUGCCAAGAUGGAUGACCGCUUCGGAAUACCAGGGGCUGUAAG
This is a non-coding RNA of Acanthosepion pharaonis, 114 nucleotides long. The record is from the annotation of a GenBank genome assembly. NCBI's taxonomy places the organism in Eukaryota, Metazoa, Mollusca, Cephalopoda, Sepiida, Sepiidae.